GCUUGUAUUCCCUUGACAAAUACUAUAGGCCAAGUGAAGAUUUCAUGCCUCACGAAUUUCAUAUUCUUCCCUUGUGAAAGCUGUUCCCUUGCCGAGAACUGAAGGAUGGCACCAGGCAAAGUAUUUCGUAAAAAGAUUCGAACACAAGAAAAUGAAAAUCAAGAAGUCUCUAGUAAACUAAAUCGAACCCAAGAAUAUGAACCUCAACAAGUUACUGAUGCUCCAAAUCAAACACAUGAAGAAAUUGAUCCAGAUACAACAAUUGAAAAUUCAGAUUCAGCCAAUUUAUCACAUCAAAAGGUACGAGGACCAAGUCGAGGUAAGGGACUAGAAAAUUUCAUGAAAAGUAAGAAUAAGUUGAUAGUAGAGAUACCAGAGGGAAAGGGUCGACCUAUUGAAGCAAUUUAAUCAGCCAAAUUAUCUUCUGCAAUUGGAAUCAUUUCACGACAAUUCAUAUAAAUACCAACAAAAUGGAAGGAUAUGAAGGAUAAUGAUAAACUUCAUGCCCUAGAGAGACUCAAAUCAAAGUUUGAGAUGAAAUUAGAUGAUGAUUAUGUGAAGAGCUCUGUCAUGUCAAUUAUGUCAAAGUUAUCAAGGAACCAUCAACAUAAGGUUCAUUUGCAUUUUAAGCAAUUCCUAAAUGAUGUUGUGGUAUGCCAAACCAACACAAUAUAACUUGACACAAGAAAAUUGGGAACAACUUUGUGAUUUGUUUAGUGAUCCUGAAUAUCAGAGGAAGUGUGAAACUAAUGCAAGAGUUAGAAGAAAUGUCAAGUUAACUCCUAAUCAAGGAUCUCGGGCUUUUGUCGCUAGCCGAUAUGCUAUGCGCAAGGAUGAUGAAGAACAAAAUAGGAUUGAUUUCUUCAAGGCAACUCAUUAUUCAAAUGAAAAAGGAUGGACAACAUCUGAGGCACAAGCAAAAUAUGAGAAAAUGGUGGAGUUGCAAUCAACUCCAGUUGAAGAAGGAGCAGAACCUAAAA
Molecule: long non-coding RNA, 980 nt
Organism: Hibiscus syriacus
Lineage: Eukaryota; Viridiplantae; Streptophyta; Magnoliopsida; Malvales; Malvaceae
Exons: 7
Source: RefSeq, a predicted model, not a curated record